This 469-nucleotide ribosomal RNA is filed under the name uncultured bacterium. RNAcentral's name for it is "bacterial SSU rRNA". It matches the Rfam family "Bacterial small subunit ribosomal RNA", at positions 329 to 795 of the family's 1533-position model. The record is from RNAcentral.
GCCCAGACUCCUACGGGAGGCAGCAGUGAGGAAUAUUGGUCAAUGGGCGAGAGCCUGAACCAGCCAAGUCGCGUGAAGGAUGACGGCCCUACGGGUUGUAAACUUCUUUUGUCAGGGAGCAAUUGGGUCCACGCGUGGGCUUAGCGAGAGUACCUGAAGAAAAAGCAUCGGCUAACUCCGUGCCAGCAGCCGCGGUAAUACGGAGGAUGCGAGCGUUAUCCGGAUUUAUUGGGUUUAAAGGGUGCGUAGGCGGGCUGUUAAGUCAGCGGUAAAAGCCCGGGGCUCAACCCCGGCGUGCCGUUGAAACUGGCGUUCUUGAGUGAGCGAGAAGCACGCGGAAUGCGUGGUGUAGCGGUGAAAUGCAUAGAUAUAACGCAGAACUCCGAUUGCGAAGGCAGCAUACCGGCGCUCAACUGACGCUCAUGCACGAAAGCGUGGGUAUCGAACAGGAUUAGAUACCCUGGUAAUU